CCUACGGGAGGCAGCAGUGAGGAAUAUUGGUCAAUGGACGAGAGUCUGAACCAGCCAAGUAGCGUGAAGGAUGACUGCCCUAUGGGUUGUAAACUUCUUUUAUAUGGGAAUAAAAUGUUCCACGUGUGGGCUUUUGUAUGUACCAUAUGAAUAAGGAUCGGCUAACUCCGUGCCAGCAGCCGCGGUAAUACGGAGGAGCCGAGCGUUAUCCGGAUUUAUUGGGUUUAAAGGGAGCGUAGGUGGAUUGUUAAGUCAGUUGUGAAAGUUUGCGGCUCAACCGUAAAAUUGCAGUUGAAACUGGCAGUCUUGAGUACAGUAGAGGUGGGCGGAAUUCGUGGUGUAGCGGUGAAAUGCUUAGAUAUCACGAAGAACUCCGAUUGCGAAGGCAGCUCACUGGACUGCAACUGACACUGAGGCUCGAAAGUGUGGGUAUCAAACAGGAUUAGAUACCCGAGUAGUC
Molecule: ribosomal RNA, 460 nt
Filed under: uncultured bacterium
Lineage: Bacteria
Description: partial 16S ribosomal RNA
Rfam family: Bacterial small subunit ribosomal RNA
Source: RNAcentral